RNAcentral lists this transfer RNA (72 nucleotides) under Liberibacter crescens BT-1. It matches the Rfam family "tRNA". Rfam says of the family: Transfer RNA (tRNA) molecules are approximately 80 nucleotides in length. Their secondary structure includes four short double-helical elements and three loops (D, anti-codon, and T loops). Lineage: Bacteria; Pseudomonadati; Pseudomonadota; Alphaproteobacteria; Hyphomicrobiales; Rhizobiaceae. The record is from Rfam by way of RNAcentral.
GCGGGUGUAGCUCAGAGGUAGAGCACAACCUUGCCAAGGUUGGGGUCGAGGGUUCGAAUCCCUUCGCCCGCU